This 489-nucleotide ribosomal RNA is filed under the name uncultured bacterium. RNAcentral describes it as "partial 16S ribosomal RNA". It matches the Rfam family "Bacterial small subunit ribosomal RNA", at positions 30 to 506 of the family's 1533-position model. The record is from RNAcentral.
AUUGAACGCUGGCGGCAGGCCUAACACAUGCAAGUCGAACGGUAACAGGAAGCAGCUUGCUGCUUCGCUGACGAGUGGCGGACGGGUGAGUAAUGUCUGGGAAGCUGCCUGAUGGAUGGGGAUAACUACUGGAAACGGUAGCUAAUACCGCAUAAUUUCGCAAGACCAAAGAUGGGGACCUUCGGGCCUCUUUCCAUCGGCUGUUCCCAGAUGGCGUUCGCUUGUUGGUGGGGUAACGGCUCACCAAGGCGACGAUCCCUAGCUGGUCUGAGAGGAGGACGAGCAACCCUGGGACUGAGACACGGUCAAGCCCCCUACGGGAGGCAGCAGAGGGAAACAUUGGAAAAUGGGGGCAAGCUUGAUGCACAACGGCGCGGUGGAUGAAGAAGGCCUCCGGGUUGUAAAGUAUUUUAAGAGGGGAGGAAGGGAGUAAAGUUAAUACCUCUGCUCAUUGACGUUCCCAGCAGAAGAAGCACCGGCUAACUCCGU